This 631-nucleotide ribosomal RNA is filed under the name uncultured Bacteroidales bacterium. Its description in RNAcentral is "bacterial SSU rRNA". It matches the Rfam family "Bacterial small subunit ribosomal RNA", at positions 146 to 776 of the family's 1533-position model. Lineage: Bacteria; Pseudomonadati; Bacteroidota; Bacteroidia; Bacteroidales. The record is from RNAcentral.
GCCUUUCGAAAGAAAGAUUAAUACCCGAUAGCAUAAUGAUUCCGCAUGGUUUCAUUAUUAAAGGAUUCCGGUAAAGGAUGGGGAUGCGUUCCAUUAGGUUGUUGGUGAGGUAACGGCCCACCAAGCCUUCGAUGGAUAGGGGUUCUGAGAGGAAGGUCCCCCACAUUGGAACUGAGACACGGUCCAAACUCCUACGGGAGGCAGCAGUGAGGAAUAUUGGUCAAUGGGCGUUAGCCUGAACCAGCCAAGUAGCGUGAAGGAUGAAGGCUCUAUGGGUCGUAAACUUCUUUUAUAUAAGAAUAAAGUGCAGUAUGUAUACUGUUUUGUAUGUAUUAUAUGAAUAAGGAUCGGCUAACUCCGUGCCAGCAGCCGCGGUAAUACGGAGGAUCCGAGCGUUAUCCGGAUUUAUUGGGUUUAAAGGGAGCGUAGGUGGACUGGUAAGUCAGUUGUGAAAGUUUGCGGCUCAACCGUAAAAUUGCAGUUGAUACUGUCAGUCUUGAGUACAGUAGAGGUGGGCGGAAUUCGUGGUGUAGCGGUGAAAUGCUUAGAUAUCACGAAGAACUCCGAUUGCGAAGGCAGCUCACUGGACUGCAACUGACACUGAUGCUCGAAAGUGUGGGUAUCAAACAGG